Molecule: ribosomal RNA, 704 nt
Filed under: uncultured bacterium
Lineage: Bacteria
Description: bacterial SSU rRNA
Rfam family: Bacterial small subunit ribosomal RNA
Source: RNAcentral
UAGAGUUUGAUCCUGGCUCAGAGCGAACGCUGGCGGCAUGCUUAACACAUGCAAGUCGCACGGGCACUUCGGUGUCAGUGGCGGACGGGUGAGUAACGCGUAGGUAUCUAUCCUUGGGUGGGGGACAACUGUGGGAAACUACAGCUAAUACCGCAUGAUAACUGAGUGUUUAAAGGCGCAAGUCGCCUGGGGAGGAGCCUGCGUACGAUUAGCUUGUUGGUGGGGUAAAGGCCUACCAAGGCGACGAUCGUUAGCUGGUCUGAGAGGAUGAUCAGCCACAUUGGGACUGAGACACGGCCCAAACUCCUACGGGAGGCAGCAGUGGGGAAUAUUGGACAAUGGGCAAAAGCCUGAUCCAGCAAUGCCGCGUGUGUGAAGAAGGUCUUCGGAUUGUAAAGCACUUUCGACGGGGACGAUAAUGACGGUACCCGUAGAAGAAGCCCCGGCUAACUUCGUGCCAGCAGCCGCGGUAAUACGAAGGGGGCUAGCGUUGCUCGGAAUGACUGGGCGUAAAGGGCGCGUAGGCGGAUGGCACAGUCAGAUGUGAAAUUCCCGGGCUUAACCUGGGGGCUGCAUUUGAUACGUGUUGUCUAGAGUGAGGAAGAGGGUCGUGGAAUUCCCAGUGUAGAGGUGAAAUUCGUAGAUAUUGGGAAGAACACCCGGUGGCGAAGGCGGCGACCUGGUCCUUGACUGACGCUGAGGCG